Molecule: ribosomal RNA, 467 nt
Filed under: uncultured bacterium
Lineage: Bacteria
Description: partial 16S ribosomal RNA
Rfam family: Bacterial small subunit ribosomal RNA
Source: RNAcentral
GACGAACGCUGGCGGCGUGCUUAACACAUGCAAGUCGAACGGAAAGGCCCUGCUUUUGUGGGGUGCUCGAGUGGCGAACGGGUGAGUAACACGUGAGUAACCUGCCCUUGACUUUGGGAUAACUUCAGGAAACUGGGGCUAAUACCGGAUAGGAGCUCCUGCUGCAUGGUGGGGGUUGGAAAGUUUCGGCGGUUGGGGAUGGACUCGCGGCUUAUCAGCUUGUUGGUGGGUAGUGGCUUACCAAGGCUUUGACGGGUAGCCGGCCUGAGAGGGUGACCGGCCACAUUGGGACUGAGAUACGGCCCAGACUCCUACGGGAGGCAGCAGUGGGGAAUAUUGCACAAUGGGCGGAAGCCUAAUGCAGCAACGCCGCGUGCGGGAUGACGGCCUUCGGGUUGUAAACCGCUUUCGCCUGUGACGAAGCGUGAGUGACGGUAAUGGGUAAAGAAGCACCGGCUAACUACGUG